AAACUAUUUACCUUCAUCAAAGACAAGUCAACAGUGAUGACUGGAACAGAUGAAAAUUAGAGCACUAAAUACACAGAGGCUUUUCUGAAGAUAUAGGACAUUUCUCAGUCUGUUCUUCGCUUCCAAGAUCAUCAUAUGCUGUGUAGCUGUUAACACCAGUGACUCUGAGGACCUGGAUGCUGCAGGUAUAGAUACAGUAAGCAGUAACUCAGUCACAGGACGUGACUCAGGA
RNAcentral lists this long non-coding RNA (232 nucleotides) under Apteryx owenii (little spotted kiwi). RNAcentral describes it as "lncRNA (ENSAOWG00000013506.1)". The record is from RNAcentral. Lineage: Eukaryota; Metazoa; Chordata; Aves; Apterygiformes; Apterygidae.